Molecule: ribosomal RNA, 668 nt
Filed under: uncultured bacterium
Lineage: Bacteria
Description: bacterial SSU rRNA
Rfam family: Bacterial small subunit ribosomal RNA
Source: RNAcentral
GUCGCACGAGAAAGUCCGCAAGGAUGAGUAAAGUGGCGUACGGGUGAGUAACACGUGGAUCAUCUACCUUUUAGUGGGGAAUACCCCCGGGAAACUGGGGACAAUACCGCAUAAGCUCGUAAGAGGAAAGCAGCAAUGCGCUGAAAGAGGAGUCCGCGGCUGAUUAGCUAGUUGGUGAGGUAACGGCCCACCAAGGCGAAGAUCGGUAGCCGGCCUGAGAGGGCACACGGCCACACUGGCACUGAAACACGGGCCAGACUCCUACGGGAGGCAGCAGUGGGGAAUCUUGCACAAUGGAGGAAACUCUGAUGCAGCGACGCCGCGUGAGUGAUGAAGCCCCUCGGGGUGUAAAGCUCUUUCGACGGGAAAGAUAAUGACGGUACCCGAAGAAGAAGCUGCGGCUAACUACGUGCCAGCAGCCGCGGUAAUACGUAGGCAGCAAGCGUUGUUCGGAAUUACUGGGCGUAAAGAGUGUGUAGGCGGUGCUCUAAGUCUGUUGUGAAAUCUCCCGGCUUAACUGGGAGGGUGCGGCGGAAACUAGUGUGCUAGAGGGUGGGAGAGGUAAGCGGAAUUCCUGGUGUAGCGGUGAAAUGCGUAGAUAUCAGGAGGAACACCUGUGGUGUAGACAGCUUACUGGACCACUUCUGACGCUGAGACACGAAAGCGUG